UCCUCCUAAAGCGUAACGGAGGAGCACGAAGGUUGGCUAAUCCUGGUCGGACAUCAGGAGGUUAGUGCAAUGGCAUAAGCCAGCUUGACUGCGAGCGUGACGGCGCGAGCAGGUGCGAAAGCAGGUCAUAGUGAUCCGGUGGUUCUGAAUGGAAGGGCCAUCGCUCAACGGAUAAAAGGUACUCCGGGGAUAACAGGCUGAUACCGCCCAAGAGUUCAUAUCGACGGCGGUGUUUGGCACCUCGAUGUCGGCUCAUCACAUCCUGGGGCUGAAGUAGGUCCCAAGGGUAUGGCUGUUCGCCAUUUAAAGUGGUACGCGAGCUGGGUUUAGAACGUCGUGAGACAGUUCGGUCCCUAUCUGCCGUGGGCGCUGGAGAACUGAGGGGGGCUGCUCCUAGUACGAGAGGACCGGAGUGGACGCAUCACUGGUGUUCGGGUUGUCAUGCCAAUGGCACUGCCCGGUAGCUAAAUGCGGAAGAGAUAAGUGCUGAAAGCAUCUAAGCACGAAACUUGCCCCG
Molecule: ribosomal RNA, 517 nt
Filed under: Salmonella enterica
Lineage: Bacteria; Pseudomonadati; Pseudomonadota; Gammaproteobacteria; Enterobacterales; Enterobacteriaceae
Description: partial 23S ribosomal RNA
Rfam family: Bacterial large subunit ribosomal RNA
Source: RNAcentral